UGCGUAGGCGGGCUAAUAAGUCAGUGGUGAAAUCUUUCGGCUCAACCGAGAAACUGCCAUUGAUACUGUUAGUCUUGAGUUCGGUUGAGGUAGGCGAAAUGUGUAAUGUAGCGGUGAAAUGCUUAGAUAUUACACAGAACACCAAUUGCGUAGGCAGCUUACUAGACCGACACUGACGCUGAGGCACGAAAGCGUGGGGAGCGAACAGGAUUAGAUACCCUGGUAGUCC
RNAcentral lists this ribosomal RNA (229 nucleotides) under uncultured bacterium. Its description in RNAcentral is "partial 16S ribosomal RNA". It matches the Rfam family "Bacterial small subunit ribosomal RNA", at positions 568 to 796 of the family's 1533-position model. The record is from RNAcentral.